RNAcentral lists this long non-coding RNA (851 nucleotides) under Marmota monax (woodchuck). Lineage: Eukaryota; Metazoa; Chordata; Mammalia; Rodentia; Sciuridae. The record is from RNAcentral.
AUUCCACCGAAUGUUUUUUAGGCUUAUUUGUUUUUAAGGACAGAUAUAGAAAAAAAAAUUAAAACAUUACUGAACCCUAGAGAUGAAUUAAACAGUACUAUGAAACAAGACAGAGUAGAGACUUAAAUACAUGACAUUUCAGAUGUUGCUUUCUGGGCUUUGAGUUAGCACAGGUACAAAACAGGUGUGAUGUGACAUUUGAAUCUGAAGGUAGGCAACCUGCAAGACACCGUUUCCACUAACCUAGGACAAUGUCUUCACAUAGUAGGCACUUACUGCACAUUGGUUGAAUGAAUUAAUUAAUCUCUUGAAGCAGAUCUAAGAAUUCCAUCUCUCUGCCUUCCUCUGGGUUAGAAAUGUCAGAGUGAUGAACAGAACAAAGGUCUGCCCUGGUUAUGGAGAACUUGCAGCAACUGCACAGACUAACAGGACAGCUGGGCCCAGGCCCUGCCUUAGGCAAGCACAACUCAGGCGCCCCCAGGGUGGCCAGCACUCCAGACCAAAGCCAGCCUGCUGUCUCCUGGCAGCAGUUCUACCCGCUAAUAAGGGAAAGGGGAAGAAGGUUUGCCUUGGGCUGAUGAACACUGCUGAUUGAUUCCUCAGCACUCUGGAGGAGGACCAAGGGGGAAAUUGGCAACUGCACUUCCUGAUGCAUGGAAAGCACCUUCCCUGGGAACCUCCCUUAGGCUGUGAUAAGGUCUCUGCUGGGACAUAGUGCCCUCCCUUCCACCUCUCUCACUUUUGACCUCUCUCUCUGCUUGUGUUUGCCUCAUUCUUUUUUUCUCACCUCUGCAAAGGUAACAGACAUGAUGCAGAAAGCCCUCUUUGAUUUCCUGAAGCACAGGUUUGAU